Molecule: ribosomal RNA, 253 nt
Filed under: uncultured bacterium
Lineage: Bacteria
Description: partial 16S ribosomal RNA
Rfam family: Bacterial small subunit ribosomal RNA
Source: RNAcentral
GACAGAGGGUGCGAACGUUGUUCGGAAUUACUGGGCGUAAAGCGCAUGUAGGCGGCAGCGCAAGUCGGGCGUGAAAUCCCACGGCUCAACCGUGGAAGUGCACUCGAAACUGCGCAGCUAGAGUCCUGGAGAGGAAGGUGGAAUGCUUGGUGUAGAGGUGAAAUUCGUAGAUAUCAAGCGGAACACCGGUGGCGAAGGCGGCCUUCUGGACAGUGACUGACGUUGAGAUGCGAAAGCGUGGGAAGCAAACAGG